This 497-nucleotide ribosomal RNA is filed under the name uncultured bacterium. RNAcentral's name for it is "partial 16S ribosomal RNA". It matches the Rfam family "Bacterial small subunit ribosomal RNA", at positions 28 to 507 of the family's 1533-position model. The record is from RNAcentral.
GAUGAACGCUGGCGGCGUGCCUAAUACAUGCAAGUCGAGCGAACGGACGAGAAGUUUGCUCCUCUGAUGUUAGCGGCGGACGGGUGAGUAACACGUGGAUAACCUACCUAUAAGACUGGGAUAACUUCGGGAAACCGUAGCUAAGACCGGAUAAUAUUUUGAACCGCAUGGUUCAAAAGUGAAAGACGGUCUUGCUGUCACUUAUAGAUGGAUCCGCGCUGCAUCAGCUAGUUGGUAAGGUAACGGCUUACCAAGGCAACGAUGCAUAGCCGACCUGAGAGGGUGAUCGGCCACAUGGGAACUGAGACACGGUCCAGACUCCUAGGGGGGGCAGCAGUCGAGAAUCUUCCGCGAUGGGAGAGAGCCUAACGGAGCAACGCGGCGUGAGUGAUGAAGGUCUUCGGAUCGGAAAACUCUGUUAUUAGUGAAGAACAUAUGUGUAAGUAACUGUGCACAUCUUGACGGUACCUAAUCAAAAAGCCACGGCUAACUACGUG